AGCGGCGGACGGGUGAGUAAUGUCUGGGAAACUGCCUGAUGGAGGGGGAUAACUACUGGAAACGGUAGCUAAUACCGCAUACCAUCAGAUGUGCCCAGAUGGGAUUAGCUAGUAGGUGGGGUAACGGCUCACCUAGGCGACGAUCCCUAGCUGGUCUGAGAGGAUGACCAGCCACACUGGAACUGAGACACGGUCCAGACUCCUACGGGAGGCAGCAGUGGGGAAUAUUGCACAAUGGGCGCAAGCCUGAUGCAGCCAUGCCGCGUGUGUGAAGAAGGCCUUCGGGUUGUAAAGCACUUUCAGCGGGGAGGCGUUACCCGCAGAAGAAGCACCGGCUAACUCCGUGCCAGCAGCCGCGGUAAUACGGAGGGUGCAAGCGUUAAUCGGAAUUACUGGGCGUAAAGCGCACGCAGGCGGUCUGUCAAGUCGGAUGUGAAUCCCCGGGCUUAACCUGGGAACUGCAUUCGAAACUGGCAGCUAGAGUCUUUAGAGGGGGGUAGAAUUCCAGGUGUAGCGGUGAAAUGCGUAGAGAUCUGGAGGAAUACCGGUGGC
This 552-nucleotide ribosomal RNA is filed under the name uncultured bacterium. Its description in RNAcentral is "bacterial SSU rRNA". It matches the Rfam family "Bacterial small subunit ribosomal RNA", at positions 94 to 716 of the family's 1533-position model. The record is from RNAcentral.